ACAUUUUCCAUAGAUGUCAGCUUCUGUCUCCUGUGAUGCUCCACUCUGAGUGAUGCCAUGUUCAGCACUGAGUAGUACUGGCAAAGGAGAGCAGCUUCUCAGAAUGAGGUGUGCAGCUGCCAUUCCACCUCACAGCAGGGCUGUGUUUGCUGCUCCACAAGCUGCAGAGCAAGAGAAGCCAACUUGAGGAGCAUGCACACUGUGAUACCCUCAGUGGUUUCUUUUACAAUGCGUUUUGCUCCGGCCAGUGAAUUUUGUUUAACAGUGAAAGAAAAAUUAAAAUGAAAAAGGAAAAUGAAGAAGUUAAUGAUACCAGAUUUCAGCGAAGCUGAACGGCUUCCCGAAGAGCUCUGAGUUUUCUAUGCCAGAUUCUGCUCCAGUGGCUAGGACCUUUAUGGCUGCUGUUUCUUUUGCUCUGGGAUCUGAUGGAGGAAAAAAAAAAAGCCACGAUGGAUCCUGUCCCUAAAGUAGAAAUUUUCUUUUUCAUUCUGCAAACAAGGCUAAAGAUCGGAGGAGAAUGAAUGCAAAAGCAAUUCAGGAUUGUGGUCGUGCCAUUAAAAGUGUUCGGCUUCAGAACAAAAUUAUUUGGGAAAUCCGAGCAAUUCUUCUUACUGUAUCGACAGUAUUUAAAAGUUAUGUGUGCUUUGAGUAAUCUGGUUCAAGUGACAACAAUCUCUGCAUGUCAAUGUUUUCUGCAGCUUGUGGAGUGAAGGCUAGUUUUGCCAUUGGAAAGGAAGAAGCUUUUUCUAGCAGUCUGUAGAAGGAUUAAAUGGUGAACGUGGGGAAGAGGCAAAAAGUGAAUACACGCCCAAAGGUUAUCCUUGCAUCGUGAAUGGGUUUAAAGUACUCUGUAACCCAGGGCCCACCUGAACAGCAGGACUAAAAGUAUACCGGGGAAAUAUUUCAAUUAGAAUCCCCUUAACAAGCAUUUAAUCCUUCUUUCAGGCAUUAAGGAAAUAGAAUAAAAUUGUUACUGUACAAAUCUGCUGGAAGCAGAUUUUAACCCAUUUGUAGACGCUUCCCUCUGAUGCAUUAUAGUAACAUAGCUACUUGUGAGACAAGGCAGUGAAGAUUUUUAUCCUGUGUUCUUUGUUCUUUCUUUUCAAAAGUUAAGGACCAUACUCUCAGAAAAGUCUGUUCGAUCAGCUGAUACAUUGUUCGAAUGUAUGUAUGCGUCUUGCCUGCUUAUUUGAUCUUUUCUGCCCCCUACUUGAAACUGUGGUUUGUUUAUUUGGGGGGAAGGAGGUGGUGUUGAUUUGGUGGGGGGACGGGACAUUGGUUUUAGGGUUUCUUUUGGGUUUGGGGUUUUUUUUCUAUUUAACAAUAGCAGUGAAAGUUUUGGUGACAGCGAUUAUGACUACUAAACAAUUCAGUUUAUUGGAAGACGAAUUCUUCUGGACCAUAUCGGACUUUUCCUAGUCCCUGAGACCCUAACUUGUGAGGUUUUUUAGCAACAAUCACAAGUCAGGCUCUUGGGACCUAGGCGGAGGGGAACCAGCAGCUUUGGACUGUGUUUGUUUCUCUGCAGAAUUUAGAGAACCACAGGAGCUUUCCUUGGCUGGAAGGGUAAAAAGGAAAAUAUACCUAUUUUAAAUGUUAAGCAUCAGAACUGUUCCUAAAAAAAAAAGAAAAGAAAAAAAUCCAAACGACUGUUACUCAUUGUACAUAUUUAUAUGUUUAGAAAACUGGACUGGAUGUCAUGUAACAUUUAGAAUUAUAAUUUAACAUGAAUGUUAGUUUGCACAAAAAAAAAAAAACUCCCUCCAAACAACAAAAACAACAAAACUCCCACUCAAAACAGAUACUAAAAUAUAUAAUAGACUUCCAACCAUAAUAUUAAUACUAUUAUUAUUAUUGUUAUUGUGGACAAUUCUGAUAAAUAAUUACCAAAAAGAAUAUAUUCAUCUUUACUGUUCAAGCAUCAAUUGACUUUUAAAACAUAAAACAUAAACACUGAUGUUUGAGGCCUAGAAAACAUUCAUUCUAUUGUUUGAAUAAUGAUUUCAGUCUACAGGAAAACUGUUGCUUAGCUUUUCCUGUAACAUCGAACAAAGAGUAUUUUGUACUUAGUUGCCAUCCUUUUUCUUUGUCCAAGUGAGAACACAAUAUGUCAUUUAAAAUAUUCUCUCAUUUAAUUUACAUUUUAAUCUGAAAGAGAAUAUGGGUUUAAAAAUCAUACCACAGCAUUAACGUCCCUUUGCACUCAGAAACAUAUUUCUUGUACCUGUUCAAUUUAAAGCAAACCCACAAUACUCUAAGCACCCGACUCAACUUGUAACUUCUCCAUCACUUCUUAUAUUUUUUUAUCCCUCUGAAAAUAACCAGUGUGAGCUGUAGCUUGUCCCUCAUGUGUUAAGUUCUUCACUGGCUUUGCAUAAGGAGAUUCACAAGCACAUGAGUUAUUCUACACUGCUUAUUUGUCUCAAACAUCUGAUCUAAAACACGUCAUCUGAUUUGUAUUUCUUAAUAUUUUAUAGGUGAGUUAGUUCUGAGUCAUUUUUCUCUGUUUCCUGUGUCUAACCAAGAUGCUGAAGUACUUUGUUGAUACAUCAGACUUCACUGAAACAAAGGCUUCACACAGAUCAGGCAUCUAAACUAUUUGUUCAUUUCAAAAGUGGUAUUUUGGCUACAGUAUAUUUUUUCCACUUGUGUGGGAGGAAUUGUGUUUUAUUGUAAGCAUCAACACUAUUGUUAAAAUAAAUUGUUCUUAUCUGUUAGUAUAAUACUUUUUCUUCUUGUCUUGUUUUCUUAAGAGGCAGAAACUAUACUCAGUACAUAGUUUUCAAGUUGCUCAAGAUAUAAUUAGUCUUUAAAUAGUCAUAAAAAAUAUUGCCUUAGCAAUUACAAUGAUGAUACAGUUCCUGUAAAUAUGUAAUUCUUUUCUUCGUAAACUGUCAAUCCCACAUGCUAAGAACACCCAAAAGAGUUACUUGCAAAUAUUCAGAUACAGAGGUAAACUUUUUAACACAGAUGUGAUAUUCAAUGUUGAUUUCUGUUUAGGAAAUACUGGAAAAGUAGAUUUGAAUGUGUAUAGGAAAGACAAAUGCACCCAGCUAGGUGCUACACUCGUGAAGCACUUUGUUAGGAAUUUACACAUAUUCUGUAGCAGUUUUCAAUACUGAAAACAGGUUAUUUAAGAUACUGAUCAGGUGAACACAUAUUCUGUUCAUUUGAGCUGUAUAAUGAGAUAAAACUAUACUGUGUGUUGCUAUAUACAUGUCAAUAUAUAAUUUAAAUUACACAUAGUGUUUAUUGAAAUAAAAGUCCUUAUAGAUUUAA
Agelaius phoeniceus (red-winged blackbird) is the source of this 3279-nucleotide non-coding RNA. The record is from RefSeq and is a predicted model, not a curated record. Lineage: Eukaryota; Metazoa; Chordata; Aves; Passeriformes; Icteridae.